This 86-nucleotide transfer RNA is filed under the name Candidatus Methanophagales archaeon ANME-1-THS. RNAcentral's name for it is "Methanophagales archaeon ANME-1-THS tRNA-Ser". It matches the Rfam family "tRNA". Rfam says of the family: Transfer RNA (tRNA) molecules are approximately 80 nucleotides in length. Their secondary structure includes four short double-helical elements and three loops (D, anti-codon, and T loops). The record is from RNAcentral. Lineage: Archaea; Methanobacteriati; Methanobacteriota; Methanomicrobia; Candidatus Methanophagales.
GCCAGGGUGGCAGAGUGGACUAAUGCGGUGGCCUCGAGAGCCACUGUCCUGAAAAGGACUCUCAGGUUCGAAUCCUGAUCCUGGCG